AUGCUUCCUGGUACAUAUGUUGGCUCUUCGGCGUUGGUCUUUCACGGACUCACGGACCCGACAACAUUAGAAGCUCUUGCUUGCCGGGAAGCCACUGCUCUGGCCAAGGACUUGAGGAUUACUGAUAUUUGUGUGGCCUCGGAUUGCCUCUCUGUCAACGAUAUUCAUACUGGAACUCUUGGGAUUAUUGCGCCAGUUGUGAAGGAGAUCAACAAUACAGCUACAGAUUUCCUCUCUUGCUCCUUUAUUCAUAAAGGACGUCUCUCCAAUAAGGAGGCUCAUAGUCUAGCUAGGCAUACUUUACAUCUAGAUGAAGGUCAUCAUGUGUGGUUUUUAAACCCUUCUGAUACUGCUAUUAUCCAUGUAACUCGUACCAUUGAUCAAUAA
This 387-nucleotide ribosomal RNA is filed under the name Triticum aestivum (bread wheat). RNAcentral describes it as "partial small subunit ribosomal RNA". Lineage: Eukaryota; Viridiplantae; Streptophyta; Magnoliopsida; Poales; Poaceae. The record is from RNAcentral.